CUCACUUCAAAAACGCUCUCACCUCCCCUCGCCUCUCACCUUAAGGCCAUAGGGUACCCUAUCACCUUAAUGUCACCUCUCGGCUCUCGCCUUAAUAACACUACUCGUUGCUAUAGAGGAGAAGAAAGAAAAGAAUUCUUUUUAGAGCCAAAUCACAAUAACAUCCCUUUCUUUUAACAAAUAACAUCUAAAGAGAGGAUGAUUUAGUAGUUAUGUUUAAUUUCUCUUCAAUUUCACCCAAAUUUGGGGUAAAAAGUUUUGUGGACCCCACACGAGUAUUUAAAGACUAAAACUUUUCCUCAUCCAUUUUUCGCUCUCUUCCAAACAAGUUCUCAUAUUCUCCUUCCCCUCUUCCUCUCCCCCAAUUUCAUCCCUUCCCAAAUAUAGUGUUAACAAUUGUCCCAUUCAAGAUUAUCUUCGAUGGGAACUGAAAUUAAAAAGGACUACAGCAAGUGAUACUCAUAGAUCACAAAGCAAAGUAAUUCAUGGACCAGAGCCCCGAACAUAUAAUACCAAUAAAGGCAUACAAUUGAACAAAUAAAAGGACUUAUCUUAUGCCCAGUGUGAAAUGACUGCAUUCAAAUAAACAAUUGUAUGUAGAUAAGGAAUUAAAAAAAAAGAAAAGAAAAGUGAUCAUCAUUGGGUGAGUUUGGUGU
Molecule: unclassified non-coding RNA, 656 nt
Filed under: Hevea brasiliensis (rubber tree)
Lineage: Eukaryota; Viridiplantae; Streptophyta; Magnoliopsida; Malpighiales; Euphorbiaceae
Source: RNAcentral